This 497-nucleotide ribosomal RNA is filed under the name uncultured bacterium. RNAcentral's name for it is "partial 16S ribosomal RNA". It matches the Rfam family "Bacterial small subunit ribosomal RNA", at positions 28 to 507 of the family's 1533-position model. The record is from RNAcentral.
GACGAACGCUGGCGGCGUGCCUAAUACAUGCAAGUUGAGCGAUGAAGAUUGGUGCUUGCACCAAUUUGAAGAGCAGCGAACGGGUGAGUAACGCGUGGGGAAUCUGCCUUUGAGCGGGGGACAACAUUUGGAAACGAAUGCUAAUACCGCAUAAUAACUUUAAACAUAAGUUUUAAGUUUGAAAGAUGCAAUAGCAUCACUCAAAGAUGAUCCCGCGUUGUAUUAGCUAGUUGGUGAGGUAAAGGCUCACCAAGGCGAUGAUACAUAGCCGACCUGAGAGGGUGAUCGGCCACAUUGGGACUGAGACACGGCCCAAACUCCUACGGGAGGCAGCAGUAGGGAAUCUUCGGCAAUGGACGAAAGUCUGACCGAGCAACGCCGCGUGAGUGAAGAAGGUUUUCGGAUCGUAAAACUCUGUUGGUAGAGAAGAACGUUGGUGAGAGUGGAAAGCUCAUCAAGUGACGGUAACUACCCAGAAAGGGACGGCUAACUACGUG